UGAGCAAUCUGCCCUUCUCUUUGGAAUAAGCGUUGGAAACGACGUCUAAUGCCGAAUACGACCUCCUUUCGCAUGAUCGGAGGUGGAAAGCUCCGGCGGAGAAGGAUGAGCUCGCGGCCUAUCAGCUAGUUGGUGUGGGUAAUGGCCCACCAAGGCGACGACGGGUAGCCGGCCUGAGAGGGUGACCGGCCACACGUGGGACUGAGACACGGCCCAGACCUCCCGUACGGGGAGGNAGGCG
This 241-nucleotide ribosomal RNA is filed under the name uncultured bacterium. Its description in RNAcentral is "partial 16S ribosomal RNA". It matches the Rfam family "Bacterial small subunit ribosomal RNA", at positions 118 to 351 of the family's 1533-position model. The record is from RNAcentral.